This 61-nucleotide transfer RNA is filed under the name Batillipes longispinosus. RNAcentral's name for it is "tRNA-Leu". Lineage: Eukaryota; Metazoa; Tardigrada; Heterotardigrada; Arthrotardigrada; Batillipedidae. The record is from RNAcentral.
UUAACUUGUGUGGCAGAUUAGUGCAUUGGACUUAGAAUCUAAAAAUAGUAUUAACUUUCAA